RNAcentral lists this long non-coding RNA (213 nucleotides) under Mytilus galloprovincialis (Mediterranean mussel). Lineage: Eukaryota; Metazoa; Mollusca; Bivalvia; Mytilida; Mytilidae. The record is from RNAcentral.
UGGCUCAAAAUCCUAGCUUCUAUAAAUGGUGCCAGCUGAAGGACUCCUCCGGGUGCGGGAGUUUCUCGCUGCAUUGAAGACCCAUUGGUGGCUUUCGGCUGUUGUCUGCUCUAUGUUCGGGUUGCUGUCUCUUUGACUCAUUCCCUAAUUCCAUUCUCAAUUUAUUUUACAGUGGAAACAACAAAAAAUAGUAUGAACCUAUUAAUAUUGAAC